Molecule: RNA transcript, 1380 nt
Organism: Cyanidioschyzon merolae strain 10D
Lineage: Eukaryota; Rhodophyta; Bangiophyceae; Cyanidiales; Cyanidiaceae
Exons: 1
Source: RefSeq, a predicted model, not a curated record
CUGUCAAGACUCCGCACUUUUUUAUAUCGUCAGGACUGAUCUGGCAAUUUUCCAUCUCGAGCGUCUGAAGUGUACACCCCAGCUCGUGGUCUAUGCAGGACGUCCGGAACUCGUCUAUCGGGAAUGUGACAAAACGCCUUGCGCACUCCUUGUACGCGCGUGUCGGUGAGGCUGGAGUGCACCCUGUUUUCGACGCCCAGCGCCCUGCUCCGUAUGCUGGUACGAGCCUUUGACGCUUGUCCUCCUUGAGGGUGCUCAGCGCAUGAAAAAAGUUCCCAAAUGCACGCCAUUCCGCACAGUACAAGUUCAUACGCGGACGAUGGCAUGGACCUUGGCUUUUGCACGCUCUCUCCGCCACUGCUUCCAUUGCCGCUCUCUUAGCCCCGAGUGAACAUGUGCCGGUCUCUCUUGUCCUUGCAGUUCCCGAGUCAGCAGUCGAGGGAUGUCGAUGGCAGCGUUCAAGUUCCGAUUUCGCCACUUCCCGCCCUUGGUAACGCGUCCCGCGCGUAGGGCCAAGUUGCGGUCCGCACGUCGUUCCCCACGUUCAUCUUCUGUGCACAUACAGCUUCGGUGUGUCUUUCGCUGCGCUGACACCGGACUAUGAUCAGACGUUCGCAUAUUCGUCUGCCGCAUCUCUCACGCGACCGAGCGCCGCCCUGUGGCAUGCGAAGGCUUGCUUCAGCGCUCGAUGCAUGUCCGGGACUGGCGUAGAAGGCGCUCGUCGAAUCCAUUCUUUGUCUGCAUACCGGAUGCCGUGACGAACGAUGACGGGCUGCUUCCGGGCGAUUCCCUUUGCGAGUGCGCUGUAUGGUGCAAAAGCAAGCAUACGCUGUCCCGUUUGAGAAGGGAUUCGUGGAAUGCGAUAUUGGCCGUGGUGAAGCAGGCACCGGAACGAUAACACUCAUAGGAGAACCAGUCAAGUGAUUUCGAUCCGUCCACGCUGUUCUACAGCGAAGCGGCGAUCCAGUCUGCACCAGAGGCGAUCGCUGCGACGACUAUAGUCAGGGACUUCAUUCCAUGCAACCAGAAGAGGCGAGUGCAUCUGGGCGCGAAUCCCCGUGUAACGUACGAUGCAGCUGUCGAAUUCCCUGUCUCGCGGAUGACCACAGGGACACAAGGAUUUGUCUUUCGAAAGGAUUCGAUCAUUUGAUACGAGAAGCACGAUGAGGCUUGGGCGUGAGCGUGUGAACACGUCGUCAAGGAGCGACGUCGGGCUCCGUGCCGCGCCAGUCCAGUGGCGAGCAUUGCUGUGCCCACGGGUUGCCUUGAAACAGAAAGAUCGAAAACAUGAAGCAUGCAUGAUUUGCGCAUGCUGUACACAAGGAAUGCGAUAGCGGUAGAGGCUUGUGCCUACAAAUUGGUUCAUAAAAUCGGCUAUUU